UCUUAUGUACAUACCUAUAACUUAGUGUUAAUGCAUCAAAUCCCAUUAGAACUCCGCAGUUAAGCGUGCUCGGGCUAGAGUAGUACUGGGAUGGGUGAACGCCCAGGAAGUCCUAGCAUUUUACAUGUC
This is a non-coding RNA of Picea glauca (white spruce), 129 nucleotides long. The record is from Rfam. Lineage: Eukaryota; Viridiplantae; Streptophyta; Pinopsida; Pinales; Pinaceae.